Leucoraja erinaceus (little skate) is the source of this 816-nucleotide long non-coding RNA. RefSeq lists it as uncharacterized. The transcript has 2 exons. NCBI's taxonomy places the organism in Eukaryota, Metazoa, Chordata, Chondrichthyes, Rajiformes, Rajidae. The record is from RefSeq and is a predicted model, not a curated record.
UAUUUCUCUGCGAACAGAAACGAGAGCUGAAAUCUCAGUGGUGUGGAUCAUAUUUGUGUAUGUUCGGAGCCAUGCAUUAUUUUUUAAAACAAAACGUUUAGUUGCAAUGUGCAUUUUCCACGCUAUGCGGCUCGCUUAUCCUGUUGCCCGACCUUUAAAGCGAGUGAACACACCGAAGGCGUCGUUUAUAAAUCAGACCCUUCAGAAAUGAAUGGCAAAUUAUGUAUCAUGCGAUGUGUAGACCGGACAGUGGCGAUGUGCUUGCUAAAGUGGAUAUUUCAUCUUUAAAUUGAAUUAAACGGGAACCCAAGGAAAACUGCCACUAAACUUUCGACCAUAUCGAUUGCUUCUUUGCUUCUUAACGUGGUUCCAGGCGGAAUUCCCGCCAGUUCUUCCACCCAGCACGCGAUAUAUCAGAGCGCACCGACUGCAUACAGUUCGUUCAUCUUCUCCUCUCUUGCACUGAGUAACAUCGGACCAGGUCAAAGCUCUUUAAAGGUAGACAAAAAUGCUGGAGAAACUCAGCGGGUGAGGCAGCAUCUAUGGAGCGAAGGAAAUAGGCAACGUUUCGGGUCGAACCCCUUCUUCAGACUGAACUUUGUUUUACACAUCAGGUUUUAUACGGCCGUGCUCUUGAUAUUUUGGAGUAGUUUCUGUAUAUAAUCAAUCAGUUAAUCGAUGUCCCACUUCUGUUAGAAUUGAUUAAUUGUGCUGUACAUUUCGCACAGUGCAUUUCGCUAAACAUUAAAACAAUUACUGCAAUGUAUUAUUUUUGCAUUUUAUAAAUAAAUAAAUAAGCCACCCAUGUGAAAAGAA